CCUACGGGAGGCAGCAGUGGGGAAUAUUGGACAAUGGGCGCAAGCCUGAUCCAGCCAUGCCGCGUGAGUGAUGAAGGCCUUAGGGUUGUAAAGCUCUUUCACCGGAGAAGAUAAUGACGGUAUCCGGAGAAGAAGCCCCGGCUAACUUCGUGCCAGCAGCCGCGGUAAU
Molecule: ribosomal RNA, 169 nt
Filed under: uncultured bacterium
Lineage: Bacteria
Also listed under: 4 other names
Description: partial 16S ribosomal RNA
Rfam family: Bacterial small subunit ribosomal RNA
Source: RNAcentral